UACCGAGGUCUCAAGCGUUGUUCGGAUUCACUGGGCGUAAAGGGUGCGCCGGCGGCCCGGUGUGUGAGGCGUGAAAGCCCGGGGCUUAACCCCGGAAUUGCACCUCAAACUACUUGGCUAGAGCAUUGGAGAGGGGAGCAGAAUUCAUGGUGUAGCAGAGAAAUGCGUAGAUAUCAUGAGGAAUACCAGAGGCGAAGGCGGCUCCCUGGACAAUUGCUGACACUCAGGCACGAAAGCGUGGGGAGCAAAAGGG
Molecule: ribosomal RNA, 253 nt
Filed under: uncultured bacterium
Lineage: Bacteria
Description: partial 16S ribosomal RNA
Rfam family: Bacterial small subunit ribosomal RNA
Source: RNAcentral